This 459-nucleotide ribosomal RNA is filed under the name uncultured bacterium. RNAcentral's name for it is "partial 16S ribosomal RNA". It matches the Rfam family "Bacterial small subunit ribosomal RNA", at positions 339 to 795 of the family's 1533-position model. The record is from RNAcentral.
CUACGGGCGGCACCAGUGAGGAAUAUUGGUCAAUGGGCGAGAGCCUGAACCAGCCAUGCCGCGUGCAGGAUGACGGCCCUAUGGGUUGUAAACUGCUUUUGUACGGGAAGAAUAGGCGCCACGUGUGGCGAUUUGACGGUACCGUACGAAUAAGCACCGGCUAACUCCGUGCCAGCAGCCGCGGUAAUACGGAGGGUGCAGGCGUUAUCCGGAUUUAUUGGGUUUAAAGGGUGCGUAGGCGGGCUUAUAAGUCAGUGGUGAAAUCUCGUGGCUCAACCAUGAAAUUGCCAUUGAUACUGUAGGCCUUGAGUAUAGUUGAGGUAGGCGGAAUGUGUCAUGUAGCGGUGAAAUGCUUAGAUAUGACCCAGAACGCCAAUUGCGUAGGCAGCUUGCUAAACUAUUACUGACGCUGAUGCACGAAAGCGUGGGUAGCGAACAGGAUUAGAUACCCUCGUAGUC